CAGCCGCCGCGGUAAUACGGAGGGUGCGAGCGUUAAUCGGAAUUACUGGGCGUAAAGCGUACGCAGGCGGUUUGUUAAGUCAGAUGUGAAAUCCCCGAGCUUAACUCGGGAACUGCAUUUGAAGCUGGCAGGCUAGAGUCUCGUAGAGGGGGGUAGAAUUCCAGGUGUAGCGGUGAAAUGCGUAGAGAUCUGGAGGAAUACCGAUGGCGAAGGCAGCCAUCUGGCCUAAUACUGACGCUGAGGUACGAAAGCAUGGGGAGCAAACAGGAUUAGAUACCCGUGUAGUCCCUGUCUCUUAUAC
RNAcentral lists this ribosomal RNA (301 nucleotides) under uncultured bacterium. Its description in RNAcentral is "partial 16S ribosomal RNA". It matches the Rfam family "Bacterial small subunit ribosomal RNA", at positions 509 to 807 of the family's 1533-position model. The record is from RNAcentral.